CGGGUCAUGCAGGGAGGGCCACAUGAUGGUCUGUGACCUUGAGACUGACAUGAUGGAUGGGCCUUGACCCCUGGCCUUCAGCACAGAUUCUCAUGAGGGAACCCAGCCCCUGCUCCCCUCCUUCCAGGCUCUGCCACGCAGCAUCAGAGGAGCAUUGCAGAGAGGAACGGGCCAUGUCCCCCACUGCCUGACUUCGCAGAGUUGGGGAACCCAUCAGCUGGGAGCAAAAUCCUUCUCUUCUCAUCCGUGACGAUGGAAUAUCAUACGAAUUUCAUCAAGAUGUAAAACAAGAACCUACCACCACGACCGGUGAACCUGAGCCCCUCUCCCAACAUAAUGCACACAGAUUCCUGAGCUCAGACGCGGGAGGGCAACCCGGGUAAGAGGCCCCGUUCCCAGAAGGGAAAUUACUGAGUAAAAGCAAACGAGCAUUUUUCAAGCUACAGCUUCCAAGGUUGCUCUCCAGACACACCAUGUCUCUCCCCCAGUCCCCCCCAACCCGGCCACUGUGGGUUCUGAGAAUGUUCUCCAGUUGAGUAGCCAUUUCUUGGAUUUCUCAUAAAGGUGAGCGACUGUU
Callorhinus ursinus (northern fur seal) is the source of this 577-nucleotide non-coding RNA. The record is from RefSeq and is a predicted model, not a curated record. NCBI's taxonomy places the organism in Eukaryota, Metazoa, Chordata, Mammalia, Carnivora, Otariidae.